AAAGUGAAAGACGGUCUUGCUGUCACUUAUAGAUGGAUCCGCGCUGCAUUAGCUAGUUGGUAAGGUAACGGCUUACCAAGGCAACGAUGCAUAGCCGACCUGAGAGGGUGAUCGGCCACACUGGAACUGAGACACGGUCCAGACUCCUACGGGAGGCAGCAGUAGGGAAUCUUCCGCAAUGGGCGAAAGCCUGACGGAGCAACGCCGCGUGAGUGAUGAAGGUCUUCGGAUCGUAAAACUCUGUUAUUAGGGAAGAACAUAUGUGUAAGUAACUGUGCACAUCUUGACGGUACCUAAUCAGAAAGCCACGGCUAACUACGUGCCAGCAGCCGCGGUAAUACGUAGGUGGCAAGCGUUAUCCGGAAUUAUUGGGCGUAAAGCGCGCGUAGGCGGU
This 394-nucleotide ribosomal RNA is filed under the name Staphylococcus aureus. RNAcentral's name for it is "bacterial SSU rRNA". It matches the Rfam family "Bacterial small subunit ribosomal RNA", at positions 197 to 579 of the family's 1533-position model. Lineage: Bacteria; Bacillati; Bacillota; Bacilli; Caryophanales; Staphylococcaceae. The record is from RNAcentral.